UUGGCUGAUGAACAGUCACACAGUAUGUACAGUCAUACAGGCCCCUGGCUGCCACCCCCAGUGACAGAAGUUGUCAUCCCUGUUGUCCAGGAGAGCCAUUCUGAUGGUGAUGGGUUGUACGAGACGCCCCGGAGGUGAAGAGGAUGUGUGGUGAGAGGAAAGACGAGUACACCCUGGGGAACUGUACGGUGAGGUGGACCUACAUCCUGGCUAUCAGCUGUGUCCUGGACUCUCUCAUCCUGGCCUUCCUAGCCUUCACACUGGGUAACAGACAGGACAAACCGCUGCCGGAUGACUUCGAGGUGGAGGGGAAAGAAAAGCAAUGAGGCACUGGAGUAAGAAGAGACCACGUCUUAAAACAGCUCAGCUGGUAGAGCACGGCACUUGUAACGCCAUGGUAGUGGGUUCGAUCCCCGGGACCACCCAUACGUAA
Coregonus clupeaformis (lake whitefish) is the source of this 433-nucleotide long non-coding RNA. RefSeq lists it as uncharacterized. The transcript is spliced from 3 exons. The record is from RefSeq and is a predicted model, not a curated record. NCBI's taxonomy places the organism in Eukaryota, Metazoa, Chordata, Actinopteri, Salmoniformes, Salmonidae.